RNAcentral lists this long non-coding RNA (1467 nucleotides) under Sus scrofa (pig). RNAcentral describes it as "lncRNA (ENSSSCG00055020710.1)". The record is from RNAcentral. Lineage: Eukaryota; Metazoa; Chordata; Mammalia; Artiodactyla; Suidae.
ACCUUUUUCCAUAUUUUAGAUUAUUUUUCUGAGACAUAUUUGUCUAUGGCCACAUUGAGGCUUUCCUGUUGAGCCAUGUCAAACAUUUGAAUUUUAUCCUAAAAAUAUUCGGAAGCACAAAGGGAUUUCAAGCAAGGGAAUAGUAGAUUGAGAUUUAUGUUUCAGAAAUAAGACUGUCAUGGCAGUUAGAAGAUUGUAGAGAAAAAAAGAGAAGAGACAGAGAGAUUUAUUGGAAUUAAAAAAAAAAAAAAAGCAGUUCAGGAAAUUGAUAACAAAGGCCUGGCCAAAGACGGUGGGAAUAAGAAAAUGGAUCGCAAAGUAUUUGUGACCCAGACUAGACAGGACCUGGUGACUGGCUGGAUGUGGGGUUAAGGAGAGGGUGGCAUUGAGAAGGAUCCUGAGCUUUCCAUCUCAAGACAACGGAGGUGAAGAGUAAAGGAGGAGUAGGUUGGGGAGGAAAGAAUCCUAUUUAGGACCUCUUGAGUUGGAAAUGCUUGUAAGACAUCCUGGUGGAGACACCUAAGAAGUAACUGAACAUGUGUUUGGUACUUUGGAGAAAAGCGAAAGCUUGAAAAGAAAAUGUACACUUAGGUUAAUUGUUAAAGUAGUUAUUAAGUGAUUUCAGUGGGUAAGACACCUGUUGCAAACUGUGAGAGACUCAAAUAAACAGAAAUGCAUUCUUCACCGGAUCCCGGAAGCUUAUAAUCAUCCUGCGUCACUAAAGCAAUUACCUUGUUAGGCUGUCAUUUCUCCAUUCACAUGUCUGCUUCUCCAAGCACACCGAGAUCCUCUCUGGGCCUAGGGCCCAGCUCUGUCCUUAUUCUCUUUUUAUCCUUUGUGAUAUGAUAUUCUCUUUCUUUCGCGUGCAAUAAAGGGCACAGUGCAAGGUCAUUAGCCAUUAAUGCUUAUGGAAAAAUGAGUGAGUGAAAGGAAGAGCUUAUGAGGGGGCAACAAAGGGCUAAGAAGUUUAGGUUGUGAAAGAGACCCCAUCUUAUACCAUACACAAAAAUAAAUUCCAGACAAAGUCAAGACUCAGAUGUAAAAACAAACAAAAAAGCUUUGUGGGAGCGCCCACUGUGAUGCAGAUUAAGGAUCCAGCAUUGUCUCUCCAGUGGUUUGGAUUGAUGCUGAGGCGUGGGUUUGAUCUCCUGCCCAGCACAGUGGGUUAAGCAUCCAGUGUUGCCUAGCUGUGGCAUAGGUCACAGCUGUGGCUGGAAUUUAGUCUCUGGCCCGGGAACUUCCUUAUGCCACGGCUCAGUGGGUUAGGAACUCGACAAGUAUCCAUGAGGAUGCAGGUUUGAUCCCUGGCCUUGCUCAGUGGAUUAAGGAUCUGGUAUUGCCCUCAGCUGUGGAGUAGGUCACGGAUAUGGUUCAGAUCUGGUGUGGCUGUGGCUGUGGUGUAGGCCAGCAGCUGUAGCUCUGAUUCGAUCCCCUAGCCUGGGAACUUCCAUAUGCCAUAGGUGCAGC